AUUCCAUGAUGAGGGCAUUCUAGGAUGUAAUCUUGAAAGUGCACCCAUGUUUCUCGGACUGACUCAUCAUGUUAUUGUUGAAAACUUGAUAUCUUCCCAUGAAGAGC
This 107-nucleotide small nucleolar RNA is filed under the name Sorghum bicolor (sorghum). RNAcentral's name for it is "Plant small nucleolar RNA R71". It matches the Rfam family "Plant small nucleolar RNA R71". From Rfam's summary of the family: R71 is a member of the C/D box family of snoRNAs containing the C (UGAUGA) and D (CUGA) box motifs. Multiple nearly identical copies of this snoRNA have been identified in Arabidopsis, and it is thought to function as a 2'-O-ribose methylation guide for 18S ribosomal RNA. The record is from Rfam by way of RNAcentral. Lineage: Eukaryota; Viridiplantae; Streptophyta; Magnoliopsida; Poales; Poaceae.